RNAcentral lists this long non-coding RNA (1332 nucleotides) under Chloebia gouldiae (Gouldian finch). Its description in RNAcentral is "Erythrura gouldiae (Gouldian finch) lncRNA (ENSEGOG00005016901.1)". The record is from RNAcentral. Lineage: Eukaryota; Metazoa; Chordata; Aves; Passeriformes; Passeridae.
CCGGCCCCGGCGGGCACGCGGGACGGGGCACCGGGGAUCGCGCCGCGCACGCCCUGUACCGAAGGGCGGCUCCGAACCGUCUCGCCGGGGCUGCCAGCGGGAGAGCUCAGGCGGAGAGGCGGCCCGAGGGCUGCGGUGCCUCUGAGGCGGCGGAGCCCGUGCCCGCUCCCGCAGCAGCGCUGCCCGCCCGGGUCGGUCGCUGACGCUUCUGAACGCGCGGGGCUCGGUGCGGGGCGCGGCGCGGGCGUGUGCGGGACAGCCCGCGCUCACCGCGCCGGGAUUCCCGCUGAGGCAAAAACCGACGGGAAGAGCGAUCCUGCAUGGAGCGCCCGACCCCGCGCUGCCGGCUCCCCUUCCGUGGGUUUUUUGAUUGUUCGUUUUUGUUUGUAUCUUUGUUUGCUUUGUUUCCCCACGAUACCGUUAAAAAUCCAAAUACGAGGAAAUGAAAAUCCAUAAAAGAUUAUUUGCGGAGAUUCUUAAUGUGACCCGUGAUAUGCCACGACCCUGUCAAAAGAAGGAGUAUAUUUUGUAAUGCUCCCAAAAUAUUGAUACUUAAUAAGCAGAACGAGUGUUAACUUAAAUUUCUUAAUACUUCUAUUUUGUGGGUCUUAAGAUAAACCUUCUUUUUAUGCCGUUUUCACACGGAAAAUAUAUUUGAAAGAAAUUCGUCAUUGUGUUUUAGUAAAUUAUUUUGGAAAAGGUUUUCAGUAAUAGAGCCUAUUUGUUUUUGUUAUAGGCGGUAGAAAUCGGAAAAUCUUUGUCGUUAAUGCUGAAAAAAUAAUAUAUGAUUAUUUAAUUCUGAGAUCAAGAUAAAGGCUGGAGUUUUCAUAAAUUCUGGCUAUAAAAGAACAAGGAAAAAACCUCCUCAAAACCCAACGAAAAGGCAGCGCUGAGCAGCGGGACCGGGAAGCAGAGGGAAAGCCCCCAGCCCUGCACCCGCAGCACUAAUUCCAGCUUUGUUCGUGGGCUUUUACUCGCAAAUAUUACACUAAAGUUAAAUUUGAGAGUCGAACAAGAAACGCAGCCGGUCCCAGUCCUUCCCAAAGAGGCAGGAGGAAGGAGCCAUCGGGAUAACAAACAACGGCCGAGCCCUCUGCACCGACCGCCCCGUCCCGGCAGCCGGCCCGCCGGCCCCGCCCGGUGCACGCGGUACCCGGCGCUGCGGGGGCGCAGCCCGACCCCACUCGUGAGCGGGGCAGAACCGCGCGGAACCCGGGAGGGCCACGGGCAUCUCCGCACGACGGAAGGGGGGCGCCGGGCUUUCUCCGCAAAAGCGUGCGGAUGCUUGGGCGUCUGCGCAGUCUGUCCGUGCACAUUCCCGGCUGCCCGGAC